RNAcentral lists this ribosomal RNA (351 nucleotides) under uncultured bacterium. RNAcentral describes it as "bacterial SSU rRNA". It matches the Rfam family "Bacterial small subunit ribosomal RNA", at positions 917 to 1271 of the family's 1533-position model. The record is from RNAcentral.
GGGCCCGCACAAGCGGUGGAGCAUGUGGUUUAAUUCGAUGAUACGCGAGGAACCUUACCAGGGCUUAAAUGUAGGAUGCAUUAGCUAGAGAUAGCUAUUUCUUCGGACUUCUUACAAGGUGCUGCAUGGUUGUCGUCAGCUCGUGCCGUGAGGUGUCAGGUUAAGUCCUAUAACGAGCGCAACCCCUAUUUUUAGUUGCUAACAGGUUAAGCUGAGGACUCUAGAGAGACUGCCGGUGCAAACCGUGAGGAAGGUGGGGAUGACGUCAAAUCAUCACGGCCCUUACGUCCUGGCUACACACGUGCUACAAUGGUAUGGACAGAGAGCAGCCACCUGGCGACAGGGAGCGAA